CAGAAAAUAGUUUAAUUAAAACAUUAACUUUGGAAGUUAAAAAUCAAAUAGCUCUUGUUUUCUGA
This 65-nucleotide transfer RNA is filed under the name Phascolosoma esculenta. RNAcentral's name for it is "tRNA-Pro". It matches the Rfam family "tRNA". Rfam says of the family: Transfer RNA (tRNA) molecules are approximately 80 nucleotides in length. Their secondary structure includes four short double-helical elements and three loops (D, anti-codon, and T loops). The record is from RNAcentral. Lineage: Eukaryota; Metazoa; Annelida; Sipuncula; Phascolosomatiformes; Phascolosomatidae.